AGCGGCGGACCGGUGAGUAAUGUCUGGGAAACUGCCUGAUGGAGGGGGAUAACUACUGGAAACGGUAGCUAAUACCGCAUAACGUCGCAAGACCAAAGAGGGGGACCUUCGGGCCUCUUGCCAUCAGAUGUGCCCAGAUGGGAUUAGCUAGUAGGUGGGGUAACGGCUCACCUAGGCGACGAUCCCUAGCUGGUCUGAGAGGAUGACCAGCCACACUGGAACUGAGACACGGUCCAGACUCCUACGGGAGGCAGCAGUGGGGAAUAUUGCACAAUGGGCGCAAGCCUGAUGCAGCCAUGCCGCGUGUAUGAAGAAGGCCUUCGGGUUGUAAAGUACUUUCAGCGGGGAGGAAGGUGUUGAGGUUAAUAACCUCAGCAAUUGACGUUACCCGCAGAAGAAGCACCGGCUAACUCCGUGCCAGCAGCCGCGGUAAUACGGAGGGUGCAAGCGUUAAUCGGAAUUACUGGGCGUAAAGCGCACGCAGGCGGUCUGUCAAGUCGGAUGUGAAAUCCCCGGGCUCAACCUGGGAACUGCAUUCGAAACUGGCAGGCUAGAGUCUUGUA
Molecule: ribosomal RNA, 563 nt
Filed under: Enterobacter sp.
Lineage: Bacteria; Pseudomonadati; Pseudomonadota; Gammaproteobacteria; Enterobacterales; Enterobacteriaceae
Description: bacterial SSU rRNA
Rfam family: Bacterial small subunit ribosomal RNA
Source: RNAcentral